Molecule: transfer RNA, 75 nt
Filed under: Candidatus Woesearchaeota archaeon
Lineage: Archaea; Nanobdellati; Candidatus Woesearchaeota
Description: tRNA-Arg
Rfam family: tRNA
About the family: Transfer RNA (tRNA) molecules are approximately 80 nucleotides in length. Their secondary structure includes four short double-helical elements and three loops (D, anti-codon, and T loops). Further hydrogen bonds mediate the characteristic L-shaped molecular structure. tRNAs have two regions of fundamental functional importance: the anti-codon, which is responsible for specific mRNA codon recognition, and the 3' end, to which the tRNAs corresponding amino acid is attached (by aminoacyl-tRNA synthetases). tRNAs cope with the degeneracy of the genetic code in two manners: having more than one tRNA (with a specific anti-codon) for a particular amino acid; and 'wobble' base-pairing, i.e. permitting non-standard base-pairing at the 3rd anti-codon position.
Source: RNAcentral
GCUCCCGUAGCCUAGUUAGGAUAAGGCGACAGCCUCCUAAGCUGUAGAUCGCGAGUUCGAAUCUCGUCGGGAGCG